This is a non-coding RNA of Paramuricea clavata, 306 nucleotides long. Lineage: Eukaryota; Metazoa; Cnidaria; Anthozoa; Malacalcyonacea; Plexauridae. The record is from the annotation of a GenBank genome assembly.
CUUGGCAAGUCUUUUUCAACUUUUUUUUCAAAAACUGCAAACGGAAAAAAUGAACACCUACGAUUUUUCUGGCUUUCAAUCCAAUACAAGCACUAUUAUUAUUGCUGUAUACUUUGUUUUGUUUGUGCUGGUUGUACUGUAUUGCUUUGUGGCGCGGAGAAAUCAAGCAUGGAUGGAGUUUAGUGGAAAAAGAGUGCUGCUGAUAACCGCCCAUCCAGAUGACGAGUGCAUGUUUUUUGGACCUGUUAUUUAUCAUGCUUGCAAAGAGUCUUCUUCCUUCUCGCUUCUUUGUUUGACCAAAGGUAA